GUCUCUUUGGAGAUAUCCGAUAAAAUUGAAAAGAUACAAAGAUAAUUAGCAUAGCCUUGCGCAAGGAUGAUACACAAAUCAAAAAAUGGUCCAAUUUUUUU
Molecule: small nuclear RNA, 101 nt
Filed under: Setaria italica (foxtail millet)
Lineage: Eukaryota; Viridiplantae; Streptophyta; Magnoliopsida; Poales; Poaceae
Also listed under: 1 other name
Source: RNAcentral